GAUCCCCUUCGGGGGUGACGCUUGUGGAAUGAGCGGCGGACGGGUGAGUAACACGUGGGCAACCUGCCUGUAAGACUGGGAUAACCCCGGGAAACCGGGGCUAAUACCGGAUAAUACUUUCUUUUGCAUAAAGGAAAGUUGAAAGGCGGCUUCGGCUGUCACUUACAGAUGGGCCCGCGGCGCAUUAGCUAGUUGGUGAGGUAACGGCUCACCAAGGCGACGAUGCGUAGCCGACCUGAGAGGGUGAUCGGCCACACUGGGACUGAGACACGGCCCAGACUCCUACGGGAGGCAGCAGUAGGGAAUCUUCCGCAAUGGACGAAAGUCUGACGGAGCAACGCCGCGUGAGUGAUGAAGGUUUUCGGAUCGUAAAACUCUGUUGUUAGGGAAGAACAAGUUGGGUAGUAACUGACCCAACCUUGACGGUACCUAACCAGAAAGCCACGGCUAACUACGUGCCAGCAGCCGCGGUAAUACGUAGGUGGCAAGCGUUGUCCGGAAUUAUUGGGCGUAAAGCGCUCGCAGGCGGUCCUUUAAGUCUGAUGUGAAAUCUCGCGGCUCAACCGCGAACGGUCAUUGGAAACUGGAGGACUUGAGUACAGAAGAGGAGAGUGGAAUUCCACGUGUAGCGGUGAAAUGCGUAGAGAUGUGGAGGAACACCAGUGGCGAAGGCGACUCUCUGGUCUGUAACUGACGCUGAGGAGCGAAAGCGUGGGGAGCGAACAGGAUUAGAUACCCUGGUAGUCCACGCCGUAAACGAUGAGUGCUAGGUGUUAGGGGGUUUCCGCCCCUUAGUGCUGAAGUUAACGCAUUA
RNAcentral lists this ribosomal RNA (814 nucleotides) under Oceanobacillus picturae. RNAcentral describes it as "bacterial SSU rRNA". It matches the Rfam family "Bacterial small subunit ribosomal RNA", at positions 68 to 862 of the family's 1533-position model. Lineage: Bacteria; Bacillati; Bacillota; Bacilli; Caryophanales; Bacillaceae. The record is from RNAcentral.